Molecule: long non-coding RNA, 2872 nt
Organism: Daucus carota subsp. sativus
Lineage: Eukaryota; Viridiplantae; Streptophyta; Magnoliopsida; Apiales; Apiaceae
Exons: 4
Source: RefSeq, a predicted model, not a curated record
GACUUGCUCGAAAUAAGUGUUAGGUGUUGUAAAAUGGUAGAAAGAGGUAGUUUUUCUUUCUACAUUGCAAAGUUUUAUACAUUGCACUGGACACUCCUUAGUCCUUCCACAGAUUUUUAAGAAAUAUUUCUGCUCUAAGAGGUUCCUUCUGAUGUACCAUUUAGAUAAAUACAUCUCUCCGUGAAUAUAAUUCUCAUGUAAAAUUAAAUCUUUUAACAUAUAUUGGUUACAUGUGCUGACUACAGGUAAACAACCAGAUAAUGGCAUCUAGAAAGGAGACUAUUCAGAGCCCACAAGCCUGAUAAGAACAAACAAACUAACCGAGCUUAGUUUGAUAGUUCUGAUCAAAUCUUAAAAGUGUGAGCACAAGGAACAUAUCAGUUGCAUAUACAUGAACAUGGAUAAAAGGAAACAAUAAAGUACCAUGAAGCUGCUUCUUUAAGAACAAAUAGCAGCCCACCAAGUGGAGCCUGAAAAGCUGCAGCUACACCAGCAGCAUCACCAUUAGAACCAAUUAAGGCUUAUUGAGAGAGUUGGUUAUCGAACAGUUUCAAAUAUUAUUUAAAGGCAUAAUAGUAUCUUCUUGACAAAUUUAUCUAAUGUGUGUUCAGUGGAUAUGUGGCUGAAAUAAGGAAGAGAAAAUCGCAGGGCUGAAUCCCCUAAAAUGGUAUUAGUGAAAAUACAUGGGAGUGGCUGCGAGGAUCACUUGAUGUUCCUCAAUUCAGGUGGUGGCGCUGCACAAAUUGUGUUCGUGAAGUUGUCCCUUCUACCAGUACUGCUGCUGAGGAAAUAUUGACUGCUGAAUAGACGACUUCUUUGCAUUUAUGUAUUCCUGGAAUGGAAGAAGAGUCUUCACUUGAGGUCAGAGCUUCGGGAGAAUCUCUUGGAGGAGAUGCUAUUAAAUCUCUUAUCGAGGCCAUAAGCAUGGAUGAUAGUGAUGAUAAAAAGCGAAAUCCCUUACACUUGUGACCUAGAAAUACUAGCAACGGUGGCACUGGAAGAAAUGGAUUCUGAUCUUCCUCCACUGCAGGAAACCUGUCCAAGAUCAAGUGUGGAAGUGGAUUCUUCAUUUGAGCUAAGAACUGCAGUUUUUGGCCUGAAGCUAUUGUACAAGAGGGUGACAAAGCUCUGAUUGACGUGGUUGACUUGGUGGACAGUGAAGACAAAAGCGAGAUAAAAGAAGUCCAUUCACUGUAAAAACAUAUGAAGAUGGAAGAUAAGGGGCAUCAGCUAGAAGAGGUGCCACAAGUCAUACUCCACAAAAAGGGAAAAUGGUUAAUCUCUAACACAAAGUUGAUUUGGAGCAGAUAUUAUUGCAGGAAACCCUGAUAAAGAGCCAGUUGUGAUCAUCAUAUAGAGGGAGUGCCUCAACUUAUAUUCUGCAAGAAAUAGAGAAAAGGCCUUCUUUUUGGACAAGGGUAAAAAUAUCAUGACUGAAAUUCAAGGUAAUGUCAGACUUCUCACGCCCUUUAUCCAACAAAGCUCUAUAAUCUCUGACACAAGCCGAGUAUUGUUGGAGACCGAUAAAGCAGUUAUUGAGGUCUUAAUCUAUAACACAAGUCCAUUGGGAACAGAUAGUAUUGCAUGAGACCCUGAUAAAGCACCUGUUGAGGUAAUCAUCUUGGAUGACAGUGACGAUGAAGGUGUACUUAAAAGAACCCAUUCACAGAAUCAAGAGCUCACAAGGGUGAAAGAAAAGGUAUCAUCUGGAGUAAGUGGCACAACUAAUACUCUUCAAGAAGCAGAGAAAAGGCCUUCUUUAGACAAAGGAAAAGAGUUCAUCAAACCUCAAGGGAGCGAAAAGGCAAAGAGGUUUUGUCCUUUCUCGCCAAAUAGAGAAGCAAUUUCAAUAAAGCAAUGAAAAGCUACUGGUAAGUAAUCUCAACCUUGUGGACACUGUUACCUUUUUAAUUGUUAAUGAUGAUUGAUUACACAUUGAGAGUUAUGUACGGUGAUAAGAUCUUUUGCUCAACAACUGUUGCCCCAGAGCAGAAGAAAAUCAAAUGGUGGGAAACCAACGUGUUUUUGUUCAGACAUUGACUAAGGACAGCAACAUGUCAACCAUGAAAUCCUGGAGCCUGAUGGAAGUGGGGAGUUCUUUAGAAGGCCCGUUACUUCCAAGGGAACCAUAAGUUGAGACUGUCGAGUAUCAUGAUCCGUUUGUUUGCUUGAUGUUAACAAGCAUGGGUUAGAAGUUGGUGAUAUUAGAGUCGAUACAUUGAUGUUAUUACAAGGUUUUUCUGCAAGAUGUUGUUUGCAGUUUACAACACAUUUUUUGUCCGGAAAGAGGGGAUGCUCUCUGUAUAUUGUUAUCCAUGUUUUGCUGCAUCACAACUAAUUUGAUUUUGCGAUAGAUGAAAAGUGAGCCUAGGCCCUGAUCCAAGCCAAACGUGAACAAAAAAUGUCCAAAGCAGAGUAAGUGAUUAUGACUUUUCUGUUCUGUAGACAAGUUCGUCUUCAUUUAGUAUUUUGUGUGUUUAUGAACAUUUGAUUUAUCUUGUAUGUCUACUGUGCAUUUUCUAUUCAUGGCUUCCAUUUAGUAAUUGCCCUUCAAUUCAAGGUCUUAUUUCUUGUGUAUUUGAGCUUCUUAGGAUAAAGAUGAGAUAAUGACAUCUAAAAUAUCAUUAUUCAUAUAUGAUAUCAGCUUUGUUAUUUAUGUAUGCUCGAUCACUUAUAUCUGCAUAUCUUUGUUUUAGAAUUUUUUGAAAUUUAUAGCCAGAUUACAUUGACACAGCUGCCUGGGAUAGUGUUUGCUCAUGAAAUAUUGAAUACAAGCGGCCAAAUUCGAACACCUAAAUUGGCCAUGCUAAAGUCAUUCGAGGGGAGCAUGCACAUUGAUUCAUUAUCGGCAUCGAAGAAAGCGGCGUACAUA